This is a long non-coding RNA of Ostrea edulis (European flat oyster), 250 nucleotides long. RefSeq lists it as uncharacterized. The record is from RefSeq and is a predicted model, not a curated record. The transcript is spliced from 3 exons. NCBI's taxonomy places the organism in Eukaryota, Metazoa, Mollusca, Bivalvia, Ostreida, Ostreidae.
CAAAAAGCGAGAGAGCGGUGGAUAAGAACUGGGUUUAGAAAAUUUGUUCUAGAUAGAGCUCUGAGUUAUUACAGCGGUUGUUCAAGCGUCAAUACGAGACAUUUUCCAACAAAGUACAGAUAUAAAAGGGCAAACAACACAGCUGGAUAAAGCAUCCUAAGUCUGCACCUCGUAAAGCUAUGACAAUGAGAGAAAUGUAUCCACCCAGGCAAUCAGAAUAUAGAGUGCAACCCGGAAGGUGUGCUGCAGC